RNAcentral lists this ribosomal RNA (253 nucleotides) under uncultured bacterium. RNAcentral describes it as "partial 16S ribosomal RNA". It matches the Rfam family "Bacterial small subunit ribosomal RNA", at positions 524 to 776 of the family's 1533-position model. The record is from RNAcentral.
UACAGAGGUCUCAAGCGUUGUUCGGAUUCAUUGGGCGUAAAGGGUGCGUAGGUGGCGCGUUAAGUCGGGUGUGAAAUCUCGGAGCUUAACUCCGAAAUUGCAUUCGAUACUGCCGUGCUUGAGGACUGGAGAGGAGACUGGAAUUCAUGGUGUAGCAGUGAAAUGCGUAGAGAUCAUGAGGAAGACCAGUGGCGAAGGCGGGUCUCUGGACAGUUCCUGACACUGAGGCACGAAGGCCAGGGGAGCAAACGGG